CAAUUGCUAUAGUACCCCUGGGAUCUAGAAACAACCUUCCAUUUGCUUUUGGUUGGGCAGGACAAAGCCUAUACUUUUUUAAGUUUUGUUUUAACUUGAAAGUGUACUAAUAUUACUAAUUGAUGUUCUAAUUGUGCUUUGUCUCGAUUUAUUAAGCGGAAUAUAUUGUCUCUCAAGCAGGUAGUUGGAAUUAAGUAUGUUAACAUUUCUGUGUGUGUUUGUGUGAAUAGACAAAAAGACGUCAAAACCCACUUGAGAAUUCAUCUAUGUUUGCUCAUACAUUCGUUAACCACUUUUUUUUUAUUCAUUAUAUCCUGGUCUUAAGAUUAAAAUCUAGUGACUAUUUUUAAGAUUAAAGUUCAACAAAAGUUUUAGACUUCAUUCCUUAUAGCAUAGUCUAUAUCCAUAUGGAUUUGACGCCGAAUUGAAUAUGAUGUUAGUGUGUUUCAUGUAACGCUACCUUUAUAUUAUGUAUUUGUGGAGUCUGGGGCUGACAAGUUUGGAGUUUAAUAAUUUGUAGGUAAAGAAGAAUCCUGGAACAGAUCGUCAUUUUGUAAUCUCAUUCUUGGAUCAAGUAAUUAAAGGCACAGAAAUGAAAAUAGACAGGUAACGAUUUGAAGAAAGUACUUCCUUUGGCCGACGACGUCGUACUUCAACAAGUUAAAACAUCAUUAGAAUUUUUUGGCCCGUUUUAACCUUCAAAAACAAGGGCGGACAACCCAUAUACUGUGGCGAUACAAACCUACAUACGCUACUUUUUCGAUUGUGGAUCACAUUCUGAUUCCAAAGGGCAAACAACAGCUCACGACCCUUAUUUUCCUGAACUGCAAGAACCUUAGGGAAAUUGGUGUCAGAGAUUCGGAUUUGGAACAAGGUGAAGUUCGUGAUCAGGUCGCUGAACCAAACGAAACCGAUUUGGAGGAAGUCGAGAAGAUGCCAGCUCGAAGAAGGGCCGAGGUCGCCAGGUCUAAGCCCCCUCCACCUGUUCAGACUGACUCUGCUCCACCGGCUCCGGUUGAGGCUGUAAUUUCUCCAACUAUUGUUGACGAAAUGAAGCAAGCUAUUGUGGAGGAGUUGGCCAUUGGGAAAUCGGACAAUCUGUUGGCCGAACAGAGGGGGGAAAAAUGCCCCGCCGAGUUUGGAGCCGAUCUUUUUGAAGAGUUAGUCGACAAACGGCUACGCGUGGAAGAACCGCAGGAUAUCAUGGCGUCGUUUCUUAUCUAACCCAAAAUAAAGAACACGCUGGUCUCUGCUGACGCAUCAACUUUAAAGGACCCCGCUCUGGCACUAAGUGUGGCCUCAUCGAUAUCCUUGCCAGUUGAUAGGGCUGCGUUCCGUACAGAGCCGGACAUAGUGUUAAUAACACUAGCUUCUCAGUCGACGGUAUUGGCGGUGGGCAGGAUUGCAGAGAUCGGUCGCUAACAUUAUGACACCGUUGAGCAAAUUGUCUUUCUCAAAGCUGAAAUUGAAAUCGAAAAGAAUAAGGCUAAAGAGGCAUUGGCCGAACUGGCAGUGGCAUCUCUCAGGGCCGACUCUGAAGCCAAGAAAGCGGAGGAAGAGCAGGCAAGGGCCGAUGCCGAGGAAGAGAAGGUGAAACACUUGGAUCUUCUCAGAGUCGCCGAAAGAUAGAGCAAGCGUUAGUGAAGAAGUGCUAAAGUUGGCCAAGGAAGCGAUUACGAAGCUGGAGGUCGAUUUGGAAGAAUCGAGAAAGGCAAAAGAAAUUGCCGACGAGGUUUCCAAAGCGUUCAAUGCUAGUGAGAUCGCUGCCUUGGAGAAAUAUGUGGAGCAAGUACCUAAAUUUGAGAAUCAGGGAUUCAAACAUAGCUGGCUCAAAGCUCUAGCAGCCGCUAAUGUGGUAUUGGAGUAGCUAAUUCCAUAUGAGCAGCUAGAGGUUGAGCCGCUGGAGUCUGACCCUGAGGAAUAAGUAGUGUAAUUUUGUUUUUUGAUUAGCAUUUUCUUGUACGUAAUUUUUUCUAGAUUUUUGUAAAGCAAUUUUCAUGAGGGAAAUGAUGACCGAUUGUACUCAAUUUUUUAAUGAAAAUCAUCU
Camellia sinensis is the source of this 2047-nucleotide non-coding RNA. NCBI's taxonomy places the organism in Eukaryota, Viridiplantae, Streptophyta, Magnoliopsida, Ericales, Theaceae. The record is from RefSeq and is a predicted model, not a curated record.